AUUGAACGCUGGCGGCAGGCCUAACACAUGCAAGUCGAGCGGAUGAGGGGAGCUUGCUCUCUGAUUCAGCGGCGGACGGGAGAGUAAUGCCUAGGAAUCUGCCUGGUAGUGGGGGACAACGUUUCGAAUGGAACGCUAAUACCGCAUACGUCCUACGGGAGAAAGUGGGGGAACUUCGGACCUCACGCUAUCAGACGAGCCUAGGUACGAUUAGCUAGUUGGUGAGGUAAAGGCUCACCAAGGCGACGAUCGUUAACUGGUCUGAGAGGAUGAUCAGUCACACUGGAACUGAGACACGGUCCAGACUCCUACGGGAGGCAGCAGUGGGGAAUUUUGGACAAUGGGCGAAAGCCUGAUCCAGCCAUGCCGCGUGUGUGAAGAAGGUCU
This 387-nucleotide ribosomal RNA is filed under the name uncultured bacterium. RNAcentral's name for it is "bacterial SSU rRNA". It matches the Rfam family "Bacterial small subunit ribosomal RNA", at positions 30 to 417 of the family's 1533-position model. The record is from RNAcentral.